UCGGCCCGUAAAUAUUGACGACGUAGAGCUUCACCGCMGGGUUGGGCUGACCCGCCUGCAGCAACAGAACAGAUGCUGUAAGACGCCAUGAAGGAGUGACGAUAAACCUGUGAGAAGAACAGAAAACACUGAAUCCAUCAGAGGAACUGAGCGAAGCUUCCUGAAGGUCUGAGGUCAAACCUCCCAUCAGGAGCAGGAUUCAUUCAGGCUGACUUCAUUACUAAACACAGCUAAUAAAGUUUAUACACAGAA
Molecule: long non-coding RNA, 252 nt
Organism: Austrofundulus limnaeus
Lineage: Eukaryota; Metazoa; Chordata; Actinopteri; Cyprinodontiformes; Rivulidae
Exons: 2
Source: RefSeq, a predicted model, not a curated record